AACGAACGCUGGCGGCAUGCCUAACACAUGCAAGUCGAACGAAGUCUUCGGACUUAGUGGCGCACGGGUGCGUAACGCGUGGGAAUCUGCCCUUAGGUACGGAAUAACUCAGGGAAACUUGUGCUAAUACCGUAUGAUGUCUUCGGACCAAAGAUUUAUCGCCUAGGGAUGAGCCCGCGUUGGAUUAGCUAGUUGGUGAGGUAAAGGCUCACCAAGGCGACGAUCCAUAGCUGGUCUGAGAGGAUGAUCAGCCACACUGGGACUGAGACACGGCCCAGACUCCUACGGGAGGCAGCAGUGGGGAAUAUUGGACAAUGGGCGCAAGCCUGAUCCAGCAAUGCCGCGUGAGUGAUGAAGGCCUUAGGGUUGUAAAGCUCUUUUACCCGGGAAGAUAAUGACUGUACCGGGAGAAUAAGCCCCGGCUAACUCCGUGCCAGCCGCCGCCGUAA
This 449-nucleotide ribosomal RNA is filed under the name uncultured bacterium. RNAcentral's name for it is "partial 16S ribosomal RNA". It matches the Rfam family "Bacterial small subunit ribosomal RNA", at positions 29 to 523 of the family's 1533-position model. The record is from RNAcentral.